GUCCCGUUGGCAAAUGCUGUAGAAGAGCUGUUACGCCAUGUAUCUUCACUGAGAGGUACUGGAGUGGAUUUAAUUAUUGAGAUCGUUAACAGUAUUGCUUCACGUGGUGAUGGGGAACAUGCGGAGUCAUCAGGAAAAUCAAGUGAGACUACUGAAAUGGACACGGACACAGAUAACAGCGAGAGUGUUGCAUCCAGCUCAUUGGUUGAAUCGACUUAUUCUUCUGGGGAAACUAUCAGCG
This 241-nucleotide unclassified non-coding RNA is filed under the name Hevea brasiliensis (rubber tree). The record is from RNAcentral. Lineage: Eukaryota; Viridiplantae; Streptophyta; Magnoliopsida; Malpighiales; Euphorbiaceae.